UUUACACAUGCAAGUCGUACGAGAGUUUUUAACUCAAGUGGCGGACGGGUGAGUAACACAUAAGAAUUUGCCUUUAGGAGGGGGACAACAACUGGAAACGGUUGCUAAUACCCCAUAUGCUUUCGAGUGAAAUGGAUUUUUCCGCCUAGAGAGAAGCUUGCGGCUGAUUAGCUUGUUGGUGAGGUAAUGGCUUACCAAGGCGACGAUCAGUAUCUGGUUUGAGAGGAUGAUCAGACACACUGGAACUGAGACACGGUCCAGACUCCUACGGGAGGCAGCAGUGGGGAAUUUUCCGCAAUGGGCGAAAGCCUGACGGAGCAAUCUCGCGUGAGGGAUGACGGCCUAUGGGUUGUAAACCUCUUUUUUCAGGGAGGAAUCAAUGACGCGUACCUCAAGAAUAAGCAUCGGCUAACUCCGUGCCAGCAGCCGCGGUAAGACGGAGGAUGCAAGUGUUAUCCGGAAUCACUGGGCGUAAAGCGUCUGUAGGUGGUUUAAUAAGUCAACUGUGUAAUCUUGAAGCUCAACUUCAAAAUCGCAGUCGAAACUAUUAGACUAGAGUAUA
This 562-nucleotide ribosomal RNA is filed under the name uncultured bacterium. RNAcentral's name for it is "bacterial SSU rRNA". It matches the Rfam family "Bacterial small subunit ribosomal RNA", at positions 48 to 650 of the family's 1533-position model. The record is from RNAcentral.